This 73-nucleotide transfer RNA is filed under the name Camelus bactrianus (Bactrian camel). It matches the Rfam family "tRNA". From Rfam's summary of the family: Transfer RNA (tRNA) molecules are approximately 80 nucleotides in length. Their secondary structure includes four short double-helical elements and three loops (D, anti-codon, and T loops). RNAcentral also lists the same sequence under 2 other names. Lineage: Eukaryota; Metazoa; Chordata; Mammalia; Artiodactyla; Camelidae. The record is from Rfam by way of RNAcentral.
UGGGGUACAGCUCAAGUGGUAGAGCACAUGUUUCGCAUGCACAAGGUCCUGGGUUCAAUCCCCAGUACCUCCU